This 620-nucleotide ribosomal RNA is filed under the name uncultured Rhodococcus sp. RNAcentral describes it as "bacterial SSU rRNA". It matches the Rfam family "Bacterial small subunit ribosomal RNA", at positions 430 to 1062 of the family's 1533-position model. Lineage: Bacteria; Bacillati; Actinomycetota; Actinomycetes; Mycobacteriales; Nocardiaceae. The record is from RNAcentral.
CCUCUUUCAGCAGGGACGAAGCGCAAGUGACGGUACCUGCAGAAGAAGCACCGGCCAACUACGUGCCAGCAGCCGCGGUAAUACGUAGGGUGCGAGCGUUGUCCGGAAUUACUGGGCGUAAAGAGCUCGUAGGCGGUUUGUCGCGUCGUCUGUGAAAUCCCGCAGCUCAACUGCGGGCUUGCAGGCGAUACGGGCAGACUCGAGUACUGCAGGGGAGACUGGAAUUCCUGGUGUAGCGGUGAAAUGCGCAGAUAUCAGGAGGAACACCGGUGGCGAAGGCGGGUCUCUGGGCAGUAACUGACGCUGAGGAGCGAAAGCGUGGGUAGCGAACAGGAUUAGAUACCCUGGUAGUCCACGCCGUAAACGGUGGGCGCUAGGUGUGGGUUUCCUUCCACGGGAUCCGUGCCGUAGCCAACGCAUUAAGCGCCCCGCCUGGGGAGUACGGCCGCAAGGCUAAAACUCAAAGGAAUUGACGGGGGCCCGCACAAGCGGCGGAGCAUGUGGAUUAAUUCGAUGCAACGCGAAGAACCUUACCUGGGUUUGACAUGUACCGGACGACCGCAGAGAUGUGGUUUCCCUUGUGGCCGGUAGACAGGUGGUGCAUGGCUGUCGUCAGCUCG